ACGGAUGUGGUGAAAUGGUAAACACAUGGUAUUUAGGAUGCCAUAGCUUAGCUUUAUGGGUUCAAAUCCCAUCAUCCGUA
Molecule: transfer RNA, 80 nt
Filed under: Zancudomyces culisetae
Lineage: Eukaryota; Fungi; Kickxellomycota; Harpellomycetes; Harpellales; Legeriomycetaceae
Rfam family: tRNA
About the family: Transfer RNA (tRNA) molecules are approximately 80 nucleotides in length. Their secondary structure includes four short double-helical elements and three loops (D, anti-codon, and T loops).
Source: Rfam by way of RNAcentral